CGGGCAGUGAGGCUGGACUCCAAGACAGAGACUACAGGUUGUCAAACCAAUAACUUCCUUUUAUUAUUAAUAUGAGAGAGAGCUCUUUACAAAUUGUUUGGAAUUUUAUAAUGGAAUUCCCGACAUUUUAUUUCCAUACAUUGAAGGUGAGAAGCAUUCUAGAGAUUCAGGUGUGUUGGCUACGACAAAUUAUAGAGUUCAUCAGGAAACGGAAAAUUCUUGAUGGGUCUUCAUCAAGAGGACAAUUUGGAGUACUCCAUGGGAGAAAAAAUUGGAUGCUGGAAAAAUCGUGAUGUCCCCUAGGCGACAGGUCACAAUCACCAAUAUCCAGUUCUGAUGACAGUCGGAGACGGAGGCAGCGAAGAGCAAAUACCUAAAAAGGUCUUGAAGGAAAACUUUUUCAUCUUUCCUUGAGUUCCACUUUUAGCCUCUCUGCUGAGACACUUCCCAUGAUAGACUUUAUAGUAUCUCUAAUAACUUGACCCUUCACCUCAGUUGGCGACAAGGAGAGCGAAGUUAAGACAAUUGUUCGAAACUGACACUUGUGUUACUACUUGUCUU
This 561-nucleotide long non-coding RNA is filed under the name Androctonus crassicauda. Lineage: Eukaryota; Metazoa; Arthropoda; Arachnida; Scorpiones; Buthidae. The record is from RNAcentral.